Long non-coding RNA from Tigriopus californicus, 1011 nucleotides. RefSeq lists it as uncharacterized. The record is from RefSeq and is a predicted model, not a curated record. Lineage: Eukaryota; Metazoa; Arthropoda; Copepoda; Harpacticoida; Harpacticidae. The transcript is spliced from 3 exons.
CCUUGAUCAUUGCUGCAUGAAGUGCCCAUCUUGCCACGAAAACCUGAGUUGUGGGAGAAAAAAAAGGCGAGCCAUCGGACUUAAGAACGACGAGGAUCGCGAGUGGAACGAGACGAAUGAAGAGGCCUGAAAAUACAGAGUGAGAUCCAGCUCCAAGGUCUCUUUCAGUGGAUGUUGUUGGUGAAGGGAUGGAGUGGACUACAGAUGCACUCUGGAAUACUCUAGACCACAGGAAGCGUACAAAUGGCCUUCUGAGCAAAGAAGGUUUUGGAAUCCAAGCCUUUGGAUCGGCGAGCAAUUCUGGAUCAAAACCAUCCCGGCUCAUCUUCUCCAUGACCGACACUUCAGGCACACCCACCCGAAUCAUCUUGAAAUACUUGCUCAAAUCACGAUGCUCAGAAGCUUGCACCAUUUUCAUGUUAUCAAUGGCCUCCAAUGAUUCGGCUGGCACUUCCGUAUUUAUAUCUGGUUUAUUAUCUCCUUCAACCGGAUCGUGUUUCACUUCCUCAUUUUUGACAUUGGACUCCAACUUGAGAUCUAUCGAUUCCCCAGGCUUUAUGGCCACUUCUGGCAGUGAUUCUAAAGUCAGAAUUUGCUUCUUGAGAUGUGCUCGUCGAAAUUGACUGCACUAGCUAAGCUAUCUAUUCUGCCUUCUCUAGCAUAACAAGAUGCCUGGCUCUGGUUUCUUUCUUAAUUGGCGCCAAACAAAACCUAGCCAGGCUAUGGCAACAAUAUCCCGUCCCUCUUUGACCAUUGCCCAACUGAAAACAAUGCAGAAAGAAUUGUCAACAUCCAGCCAGCCAAGCCUAUAAAGACCUUGAGCCAGAACGUCCUUGCCCAAACGUUGGCCUUCGUUAAAAUAUCGCUGUUCCUGGUAUCGAAUUUGAGGAGGAGGUCUUUUAGUGGAAACUUGUCACAUAACGGACAAAUGUCAAAGCCAGUGAGGAAAGCUUGCUCAUUUGGUCACGUUUCAAACCAAAGUGUGAUGCCAUUAAGGAAAACUCUGAUGGC